RNAcentral lists this ribosomal RNA (406 nucleotides) under uncultured bacterium. Its description in RNAcentral is "partial 16S ribosomal RNA". It matches the Rfam family "Bacterial small subunit ribosomal RNA", at positions 359 to 773 of the family's 1533-position model. The record is from RNAcentral.
AACAUGGCACAAUGGGCGAAAGCCUGAUGCAGCAACGCCGCGUGAGCGAUUAAGGCUUUCGGAUCGUAAAGCUCUGUCCUUGGGGAAGAAGGUCUUCGGACUUGACGGUACCUAAGGAGGCAGCCCCGGCUAACUACGUGCCAGCAGCCGCGGAAAUACGUAGGGGGCAAGCGUUGUCCGUCAUUUUUGGGCGUAAAGGGUGCGUAGGCGGCCUUUUAAGUCAGGUCUGAAAGCCCACGGCUUAACCGUGGGAUGGCAUUUGAAACUGGAAGGCUUGAGUAUCGGAGAGGGUAGUGGAAUUCCCAGUGUAGCGGUGGAAUGCGUAGAUAUUGGGAGGAACACCAGUGGCGAAGGCGACUACCUGGACGAAAACUGACGCUGAGGCACGAAAGCUAGGGGAGCAAAC